CACGCMAGUGCGAUAAGGGGACUCCGAGUGYGWGGGCAUAGAGYCCACRCUUUUGUGUACCGUAAGGAGGUACASGAAUAAGAGCUGGGCAAGACCGGUGCCAGCCGCCGCGGUAAUACCGGCAGYUCGAGUGAUGGCCGAUCUUAUUGGGCCUAAAGCGUCCGUAGCCGGCCGGGCAAGUCCGUUGGGAAAUCUGUUCGCUUAACGAACAGGCGUCCAGCGGAAACUGCUCGGCUUGGGACCGAAAGACCUGAGGGGUACGUCCGGGGUAGGAGUGAAAUCCUGUAAUCCUGGACGGACCGCCGAUGGGGAAACCACCUCAGGAGGACGGAUCCGACGGUGAGGGACGAAAGCUAGGGUCUCGAACCGGAUUAGAUACCCGGGUAGUCCUAGCUGUAAACGAUGUCUGCUAGGUGUGGCACAGGCUACGAGCCUGUGCUGUGCCGUAGGGAAGCCGAGAAGCAGACCGCCUGGGAAGUACGUCCG
Molecule: ribosomal RNA, 486 nt
Filed under: uncultured Halobacterium sp.
Lineage: Archaea; Methanobacteriati; Methanobacteriota; Halobacteria; Halobacteriales; Halobacteriaceae
Description: bacterial SSU rRNA
Rfam family: Archaeal small subunit ribosomal RNA
Source: RNAcentral